AUAACGGAAAUAUAAUUGAAGAACGCCCCUCCUUUGGCGAUUUACAAUCUCUUUCUUCUCCAUCUCUUUGUUUUCUUCUUCGAUUCAGUCUGAUUAUGAUCGUUGACACAUCUUUAGAUCAUAUCCAUGUCUAAAUUCCCAUUUCUAGGGAUUUCUUGGGAAUUCAACUUGAAUUGCUACAGUUUUAAUCACAAUGAAACAAAAGGUCUACAAGAGUGUAAGAAUCAGGUCAUGUUCUUACUCAAACUGGACUAAGAUGUAGGAGCUAAACCAAUAACCGUAACAAGAAACAGAUUUUUGGCGAACAUAAAAUAUUUUGCUGGGUAAGUUGGUUUUAAUCGUUUUUGAAAUUAUAUAGUAAUUUAACACACUGCUUCUCCUAACUUGUUUAUUUAGCAGUUAUGGAUUGUUGUAAAGCCAAAAGUUUCUAUAGGGGUCGGGUCUUUGUGCAGUCUGGUGUGUCACUUAGCUUUCUUGUUAUGUCGUCAGUGCAAUGUGCUAUCACGUUCUUUCGCUAGUCCAUGAGAUCUGGAAACCUAUUCCUCGAACUAUAAAGCACCUCUCGAAAGGGGACACCAUUGUUGACUAAUGCUUAUCUGAUUCACACGGAAAUCGAAAGCAAGAUAGUAGCAGCAAAGGUAAAUGGUUAUCUUGUUUCUCCAACUCACAUUCUUGAGAAUGUUGAUGUCGUGGAGACUGUCACCUACAACAUUUUGUACCUUUUCUCUCAUGCAUUUUUUUUUCAUAUCUCGUUUUCUUUUUUUCCACGUACGGAAAUUAUGAUUAGCUUCUUCAUCUCUACCUAGGUUUCACGAGCUUUCAUGUUCCUUUUUAUUGCUACAGCCCCUCUCGAGCAAAUCUGUUUUCCAGAGACAUAAACAGUGGUUGUAACAUGCCAAAACAAGGAGUGCGAGACAGAAGAUUAUGAGGGUAUAUUAUUGACUUUGAUAGUGAUGCAGAACAUUCAAGAAAGAGCUUACAAUGGUGGGAGAAAAUCCUCGUCAAUGUCAAGCAGUUCCCACUUCCCAGUCACAAGACAAAAUCAGAUAUACAUCACGAGAAAAAGGCAGAGAUAUUACAACACCCACCUCUCAAAAUGGAGCACUUGGUCCCAAAGGUAAUGGAAUUGCCAAGAUUUUUCCUGCUAAAAGCUUAGACAGUUGGCGAGACACUAAAAGCUCGAAGGUCACUCCAUCGAAUGGUUCUGUGUAGUAUACAUGGAUCGGAAAGGCAUAAUCUCAAAGGUUAUAACAGUCCUUACAGCUGAAAGGUUCUGUGUAGUAUCCAUGGAUCGGAAAGGCAUAAUGUCAAAGGUUACAACAGUCCUUGCAGCUUUCAGCAUCGCAAGGAUUAGCAGUAAUGUUGCUUCAAAUAGAAGCAAACAUUGAAAGCUUGGUGGAUCUACUCUUGGGAUGGUCGAGUUGUUUUAGCUGGCCAAAAUCAACAGAUAAUGCUCAAGUUCUUGAGUGUUAUAGCCAAAAGACUCACUUUCUUGGCCAUGAGGUUUUUUCAUGUUUUUUCUUCUUACUUGCUUCUUUGAUUCGUUGUUUCUUUUGCUUGCUUGCUUUGUUACUUGCUAUAUUCAUUGUUUGUUUUCUUGCUCAACUUGUUUGCUUUUGCUGCUUCUUUGCUUCCUCUGCUUUGUGUAUUGCUUGUUGUUUCUUUGCUUCUUUGAUUCCUCUUUUGUGCUUCCUUGAUUUCUUUGUAUUGUUUGUUCUUUUGUUUUCGCCCAACUUGUUUGUUUGAUUCCUCUGCUUUAGUGUAUUAUCUGUUCCUUUGCUUCUUAGAUUCUUCUUAUGUUUGUGCUUUUUUUGGCUCAACGAUUUUGUUUGCUUAUUUAAUUCUUCUGUUCAGUGCAUUGCUUGUAUUUUUGCUUCUUCUAUUCCUUUUUUUUUUUUAGCACUGUACUGCUAGCUUUUGUGCUUCCUUUAUUCAUAUGUUUAAUGCAUUUUUCGUUUUUAUUUAUUUGAUUCCUUAAUUCCUCUCAAUACUUGAGACUGAAUAGAUUUUGUGCGAUAAAUUUUUGUAUUAUUCAUUUAUAAUUUUUGUUCGUUAUAAAUUUUUGUAUUAUUCACUUAAUUCCUCUCAAUACUUGAGACUGAAAAGAUGUACAAACAAUUAUUUAUUUCAUAUGAAAUAAAAUGAGAUUUAACCGA
Molecule: long non-coding RNA, 2156 nt
Organism: Capsella rubella
Lineage: Eukaryota; Viridiplantae; Streptophyta; Magnoliopsida; Brassicales; Brassicaceae
Exons: 12
Source: RefSeq, a predicted model, not a curated record